Molecule: long non-coding RNA, 3654 nt
Organism: Cannabis sativa
Lineage: Eukaryota; Viridiplantae; Streptophyta; Magnoliopsida; Rosales; Cannabaceae
Exons: 2
Source: RefSeq, a predicted model, not a curated record
UUAAGAAAUUUUUAUUCUUAAAUCAUAUGAUAUUUGAUACAAUACUCUAAUUUUUUUAGUUUUCAAAUAAUUAUUGAAAAUUUAAAGACUUAUUUUUUUUUUAAAAAAAAUGAAGUUCGGUUUGGUCGAUUUAAACCGACCAAACCGUGGAUUAAAACGGUCGGUUUUUUUUACAUUUGUAUAAUGGUCGGUCGGUUUUUGGAUUAUAACCAUGAAAAUCGAAAAAUCAAAUUUUGGAUUUUUUUGUGUAAAAAAUCGACCAAACCGACCGUUGCUCACCCCUAAGUGCUCCCACUCAAUUGUACUACCAUGCUCCCAAGAUGUAAGUAUUGGGCCGACCCAUUUGGUCAGCUUUAACGAACAAGUUAAAGAAUACAAAUAAUACAGUUAAGCCAGAACUUGACCAUCUCAAGACUAAGAUCUAUUGAUCUAAGAUCAACUAAGUGAUAUUGACUUACAAAGAUAUAAUAGUAAGUUUAUGAUAUCUUAUCCUAGUUCAAUAUCGGUUCAGUCCGAUGUAUACUCCAUAACCAACUCCUUGGAAAUGACAUACCACUUAUCCAAGUGUAAGUAAACUUUGUCGCAGAUUAUUACGUCAAUGUAAAUCCACUGCACCGAUAAAUCAUGUGACUAAAACUUUAAAGCAUAUAAUCACAAUUACUCUUCACUAUGAAGACAUCACUGUAAUUGUGAAUAACUAUAUGUUCUGAAUUUAUUAGAAAUUGUAAAUUAAACCAUAAUUACAAAAAUAAUAUGUAAAAUUAAAUGACUUUUAAUCUUCUAUUGAUAGAAAAUAAGAUUAUAUUGAAAUGAGUUUUAUUUAGGGCAUAAAAUCCCAGCAGUUGGUUCUCUGGAUCAUCUUUUCGAUCGUUCACAUUGGACGUAUCCCUACCUCUCGCAUCGUUCGGUUGGGCGGGCUCAGGCAAGAGGGGGUUUACUUCCUCCAUGACCAUCUUGAGGCCACCUUGAAGAGUCUUCCUAGGAACUGUCUUUCAUGUGAACACCAUGACCGUAACAGUGGUUUAUGUCUUUCUUCAACUCUCAAUGAAAACACCAAAAUAUUUACUGAGAUUUUCGGAAACCAAAUAUUUAAGAACUAAAGAGAUUACCUAUUGUAGAAAUAAAGAGAUGAAGGUUUUUUGCUUGGUUCAAGUGUUAAUAAACCUUAGUCCACGAGUCAGUCUAUUAGCCUCUUAGGGCAAGUUUGAUGUGUUUAUAGUAUUUUGAUAGAAAACCCUAACUCUGUACUCUAAGAUUCUCUUGAAGAAGGAGAAUACUUGGAGCAAUCUUGGAAGAGUUUUAGCUACGUGAAUUGUGAUGCCCCCUUCGUAUGAGAAUCAAGGGGUAUGUAUAGGCUAAGUGGUGGGUAUGGAAAACCCCAUGACCCGCCUUAGGUAUCCGCUAAAAUCCCACUAUUGGAGUAAAUUACAUGCAAUAUCAGAGCUAACCAAAUGAUCCCAUGGGAAACAAUAUGCCCAUGUGUGCUACAGCUGGAUAAUGGGGAUCAUUUUGUUCCAUAUGGCCAUGUAGCAUGCAAAUGUUCAAUCUUUAAAAGUAGAGGCCUCGUGUAGCUCAAAGCUGGCUCCUUUAUGAGUAGGGGUCUGUAAUAUUUUCCUGGAAAAAAGGUGGUGGUGGUAUGCACCUACUAUGCUUGGAUGUAGGAGAGAAGAUCUAAUCUUUGUCAUAAAAAGUAUAACCAUUACUUGGGUGACUUGGUGUGCAUAAAAAGUUAACAUUUGCGACACUCCAUAAUGGUCGAUAUCCACCUUAGACCUUUUACGUACCCGUUUGGGCACCACCUUAGUGAGUUUCUCUAUAAGACCCUUCCAGGUCUAGGAGAAACCAUUCGUCUACUACAUUUGGGAAGCCAAGGUAGAAAUAAGUAGGCUUUUGUGUGUCUUUCUAUCCCAGAUAAUUCCCAGUUCCACAGGCUUUCCCAUGACAAAGUUGCAUCAAAGAAUCUUGAUUAGGGAAGGAUUAAAUUGAUCUUCCUCAUUAAAUGCCGCAUUUUGUACUUUGUAAAAACACGGAUAACACACUAUUUUUGGAUUGCACAUCUGCAUGUCUUUGAGUAAAAUUACUUAUAGCUAUGUAAGUCUUUUCUUUAUUUUUCCUUGUUUGUAUAUGAUUUCAUAAUAUCAAUUACUUUUCAUAGUAUGAUAUAAAUUUAUAAUUCUUAGUCAUUGAGUUGUGGUCAUAUCUUAUCUGAGCUAAAGUGAAAACAGAAGACAAUUGGAUUAGGAAAUGCAGUGCCAUCAUGCUUAUUUGAAAUGUGCAAUCCAAAGAUGUAAACUAAAAGUAAUUUAAAAACACGCCCAGUUGAAAAAUGUCACCUAGGUUACUUGGGGAUUGAGUGCUCAAAAUCUUUCAAUGAGGAAGAUAAGAAUCGAAUGUAUACAAUGUUUGAGAUUGACAGUUGCUGUUUCUGAGAUUUGUGUCUGAAAUUGGCAACUUCAAAGAAAAAUGUAAUGACCGCAUAGUUAAAUCAUGAGAAUUAGUAGAUAUUUAAGGAUUUUAAUACUAAUGUAUGAUUAUAUGCCUCUUAGUAGAAAUUAGGGCUUAUUGUCAGAAAUAUAUCUUAGGAAAGUAUUUUUUUUAAUUGCAGAGAUAUAUUUGAAUGUUAAGUGUAUUAUAUAUACUAUUUAUGAAUUUAUGAUUUUCAUGUUUUGUGCUUGAUAACAGUAGAAUGUGAUGAUUUGGCCAAUAGAGUUACUCAGAUAUGAUUGAGUGUCUUAGAAUUAGCAGGGUUAGUUAGACAUUUAGAAUGUCGGGAGUUAUCGGGGUUAUGGUUUUGGACCAUUUUACCCCUAGAAGGUAAGGUAUCUUCCUAGUAAAGCAAAGGGUAAAAUUGUCUUUUGGAUUUAUUUUAUUAAUGGAGAAUAAAUGAUCUUUCUAGUAAUAAUCCUUAAGUUUAUUUAGAUUUUAUUAAGUUGAAUAAAAUAAUUAAUUUUCAAUUAUCCAAACUCAUCACACAUAACUCUUCUCCCUUUCUCUCUCUUGGGGUUCGACUACAAGAAAACACAAGGAAACCCAACCCCUUUUCUCUAUUAUUUAGACCAAAUCAAGAGAAUUCAGCUUAGGUUUUUGUGGUUUAAUUAUUGAGAAGGUUAAGAUUCACCCUUCUUUAUACUUUAAAGAAGCAUUUCAACGGAAGGAAUAGGAUUCUCGGCCGAUGCCUCGGUUGACUGUGUUGUGGCCAGGAGAAAUGUUUCUGAAAGAGGUAAGAUUGAUGGAGAUAAGAUGACCAGCGGGCAUAGAGAUAAAGAGCAGUCGAGGCGCUCAUUCCACCGUUGUCUUUUGGUUAGUCUUCAGAGGGAGUUUUCUUUUCCUAUAUUUUAAUUAUUAUUAUUAGUUUCUAUUUCUCUGUGACUGAAUUUCUAGGAAGAAAUGAUGUUCUGCAAAGUUGUUACCGAAAAAAAGUUAAAGGAGUUUCAUUUUCCGAUGACGAGGGUGGUAGCGGAAUAACCAGAGACAUGAUUUGGGUUGUUUUGGUUUAAGCUUUAUUAGUUUUUAUGGUAAAUUAUAUAUUAUAAUUAUUACAUUUAUUAUUUUCAUAUAUAUAUUUAUUACAUUUAUUAUUAUAUUUAUAUAAUUAUAUAAUUUUAUAUAAUUUUGACUUUUGUUAUUAAUAGUAUCUUUUCUUGAUUUUUUCCU